GAUUCCUACGGGAGGCAGCAGUGGGGAAUAUUGCACAAUGGGCGCAAGCCUGAUGCAGCGACGCCGCGUGGGGGAUGAAGGCCUUCGGGUUGUAAACUCCUUUCGCUAGGGACGAAGCUUUUGUGACGGUACCUAGAUAAGAAGCACCGGCUAACUACGUGCCAGCAGCCGCGGUAAUACGUAGGGUGCGAGCGUUGUCCGGAAUUACUGGGCGUAAAGGGCUCGUAGGUGGUUUGUCGCGUCGUCUGUGAAAUUCUGGGGCUUAACUCCGGGCGUGCAGGCGAUACGGGCAUAACUUGAGUGCUGUAGGGGUAACUGGAAUUCCUGGUGUAGCGGUGAAAUGCGCAGAUAUCAGGAGGAACACCGAUGGCGAAGGCAGGUUACUGGGCAGUUACUGACGCUGAGGAGCGAAAGCAUGGGUAGCGAACAGGAUUAGAUACCCUGGUAGUCCAUGCUGUAAACGGUGGGCGCUAGGUGUGAGGGUUUUUCUACGAUUCUCGUGCCGUAGCUAACGCAUUAAGCGCCCCGCCUGGGGAGUACGGCCGCAAGGCUAAAACUCAAAGGAAUUGACGGGGGCCCGCACAAGCGGCGGAGCAUGUGGAUUAAUUCGAUGCAACGCGAAGAACCUUACCUGGGCUUGACAUACACGAGAUCGCUGCAGAGAUGUAGUUUCCCUUUUGUGGUUGGUGUACAGGUGGUGCAUGGUUGUCGUCAGCUCGUGUCGUGAGAUGUUGGGUUAAGUCCCGCAACGAGCGCAACCCUUGUCUUAUGUUGCCAGCAUUUGGUUGGGGACUCAUGAGAGACUGCCGGGGUUAACUCGGAGGAAGGUGGGGAUGACGUCAAAUCAUCAUGCCCCUUAUGUCCAGGGCUUCACACAUGCUACAAUGGUCGGUACAACGCGUUGCGACACUGUGAGGUGGAGCGAAUCGCUGAAAGCCGGUCUUAGUUCGGAUUGGGGUCUGCAACUCGACCCCAUGAAGUCGGAGUCGCUAGUAAUCGCAGAUCAGCAAUGCUGCGGUGAAUACGUUCCCGGGCCUUGUACACACCGCC
Molecule: ribosomal RNA, 1050 nt
Filed under: uncultured Corynebacterium sp.
Lineage: Bacteria; Bacillati; Actinomycetota; Actinomycetes; Mycobacteriales; Corynebacteriaceae
Description: bacterial SSU rRNA
Rfam family: Bacterial small subunit ribosomal RNA
Source: RNAcentral